This 41-nucleotide ribosomal RNA is filed under the name Fusarium petroliphilum. Its description in RNAcentral is "partial 28S ribosomal RNA". The record is from RNAcentral. Lineage: Eukaryota; Fungi; Ascomycota; Sordariomycetes; Hypocreales; Nectriaceae.
AGUUGACCUCGAAUCAGGUAGGAAUACCCGCUGAACCUAAG